GGGAGACAUGAGACAUCAAUCAAUAUAUGUAAAAUGAACAGUGGUUCCGUCUGGAGAGGCGGGACAACUCGAAGUGGGGAGGAGGCUUCCAGGUCAUAGAUGCUCCUCAUGCAGCAUGAAGAAGAAAUAAGUAAAGAUUUUCUAUCCAGUGAGAUCCAGCGGCUCCGAGAGCAGAACACAAGCUUGCGAAACGCGAUUGCCCAGAUGAGGAAAGAAAUGGAGGCUCUAAGCCAUCAGAUUCCUCCUCCCGUCCAGACAGCGGCAGAGAGCACAGAUGCAAACCAGCCUGACCCAGAGGCUGGGGGAGAUGCCGCCACUCCUGAUUAUGUUCUGGCCCUUGAAGCAGAAAUACGAACUCUAAAGCAUAAGUUUAAAACUCUGGAAAAGCAUCUAGAAGAUGUGUUGGAUCCUUUAAAGAUGUCCUCACCUCAUGCUGAGUCUCAGCCCAGCGUCCGCACCUUGACAGAGACGACUGAUCUGAGCUGACAGAAGCCACUCUUCUCUGCAGGAGGGUCUGCCCAAGCUGGUCAAGCCGGAGGAUCUGUCCAAGCUGGCCCAGUAUCCUCCGGACUGGCACUCAGGAAGCUCGGGGACAGAGUGCAGCUCCUAAACCUGCUGGUGA
Molecule: small RNA, 622 nt
Filed under: Pongo abelii (Sumatran orangutan)
Lineage: Eukaryota; Metazoa; Chordata; Mammalia; Primates; Hominidae
Description: processed transcript
Source: RNAcentral